UACGUAGGGACCAAGCGUUGUUCGGAAUUACUGGGCGUAAAGGGCUCGUAGGCGGCCAACUAAGUCAUACGUGAAAUCCCUCAGCUUAACUGGGGAACUGCGUGUGAUACUGGAUGGCUUGGAUGUGGGAGAGGGAUGCGGAAUUCCAGGUGUAGCGGUGAAAUGCGUAGAUAUCUGGAGGAACACCGGUGGCGAAGGCGGCAUCCUGGACCAUUAUUGACGCUGAGGAGCGAAAGCCAGGGGAGCAAACGGG
Molecule: ribosomal RNA, 253 nt
Filed under: uncultured bacterium
Lineage: Bacteria
Description: partial 16S ribosomal RNA
Rfam family: Bacterial small subunit ribosomal RNA
Source: RNAcentral